GAUGAACGCUGGCGGCGUGCCUAAUACAUGCAAGUCGAGCGAACAGACGAGGAGCUUGCUCCUCUGACGUUAGCGGCGGACGGGUGAGUAACACGUGGAUAACCUACCUAUAAGACUGGGAUAACUUCGGGAAACCGGAGCUAAUACCGGAUAAUAUAUUGAACCGCAUGGUUCAAUAGUGAAAGACGGUUUUGCUGUCACUUAUAGAUGGAUCCGCGCCGCAUUAGCUAGUUGGUAAGGUAACGGCUUACCAAGGCAACGAUGCGUAGCCGACCUGAGAGGGUGAUCGGCCACACUGGAACUGAGACACGGUCCAGACUCCUACGGGAGGCAGCAGUAGGGAAUCUUCCGCAAUGGGCGAAAGCUUGACGGAGCAACGCCGCGUGAGUGAUGAAGGUCUUCGGAUCGUAAAACUCCGUUAUUAGGGAAGAACAAAUGUGUAAGUAACUAUGCACGUCUUGACGGUUCCUAAUCAGAAAGCCACGGCUAACUACGUG
This 497-nucleotide ribosomal RNA is filed under the name uncultured bacterium. Its description in RNAcentral is "partial 16S ribosomal RNA". It matches the Rfam family "Bacterial small subunit ribosomal RNA", at positions 28 to 507 of the family's 1533-position model. The record is from RNAcentral.